Non-coding RNA from Phoenix dactylifera (date palm), 556 nucleotides. NCBI's taxonomy places the organism in Eukaryota, Viridiplantae, Streptophyta, Magnoliopsida, Arecales, Arecaceae. The record is from RefSeq and is a predicted model, not a curated record.
UGGGCAAGGUUGGAUUCAAUUUCCCAGUGACGCUGUCACUAAUCCACUAUGGGACUGCUUGGUUUCUGAUGGCCAUCUUCAAUGCUCUUUCACUAUUACCUGCCUCCCCUCCCUCUAAAUCCACACCUUACUCUUCUCUGUUCAUCUUGGGUGCUGUCAUAUUUCUUUCCACUGGUCUGUCUAACAUCAGCUGAAAACGUAAGAGUGUGGGGUUCUAUCAGAUGGCUAAGAUAGCUGGGACUCCAACCAUCGUUUUAGCUGAGUUCAUGCUUUUCAGAAAGAAAAAAAAAAGUUUCUUUUCCGGAAGAUACAGCGGUCUUUAGAUCGAGAGUAUAAGGUGGACACGACACACCCAAGCAAAGCCCACGUAAACAAAUGACUCCAAAUGGAGGAAACAACUUUGUGCAAUUUGCUCUUGAUCAUUUGCUCAAUGAUCGUGAUAUGUUUGCAACCUCCCCCCUCAAAGGAAUAGUUUAUAGCUUCACAACAAAACUCAUACAUUGGACUUCCUACAAAUGUUGAUAAUUUUAAAAGAUAUGAUUUCAAAUCUUAAAAU